AUCACUAAUCGAUUAGUUAGCGAUUGCUUCUGCUGAAUGCACCCAUUUAGUUAGGAGCGCCUAAAGAUCAUAGAGGUAUAUAUUAACAUAGAGGGAGCCUACCUUCCGCGCUUCCUGACGACAAGAUCUCAGGGACUGGUUUGCUGCAUCUACUUCUAACAGAGAAUAUGGUCGCGUUCACCAGAAUAAUCCGAGUGCAAUCCGAUUAAUUUGCGCUGAAACGCUGACAGUUUUUUUACUAGUGAACGACUGACGUUUGACCAUAGAAGAGUGGGUGGGGCGUUUGACAUUCGAUUGAGAGUGUUCUGUGUUCCAUUUGUUUAUGUUUUUAUUCUUUGUUUAUAUAAUUUAUAACCUAAACCUAGACAGUUUUGUUUUUAUUUUAAAUAAAACUGAAACUGUCUAAACUAAAAUGGAUAAUAUUCUUGAAGAACUUUUGUUUGGGGACGAAAUUAGCAAAUGCCGUUAUACAUUUAGCAGAUGUACCUACCUCAAAUUAUUCCAGAAGGAUGAGAUGAAAUUAAAUAUAUAUAAACCAUAAUUCAAUAUCCAAUUUAGAGAACAUUUUCGUAUGUCCAGAACUACUUUCCAGGAACUAUUUAAUUGUAUUGGUCAUAUCCACCAAUUUGAAAACAGAAUAAUUCUAUUGGAAAAAAUUAAUGUUUAUGAUGUGGAUGCUAAGUAAACCAGAUAAUUUGUUGCUGGGGAUACGUUUGGUUUGCCAAAGAGCUCUGGACAUAAGAUUUUCACCCAAAUAAUAUAGAAUUACAAAAAAUUGGAAAUAACUAAUCUUGAAUAUCAAUGUGCAUAUUGAGUUUAAUUUUAUUGUAAAUAUUCUAUAAUAUAAUUUUAUUGUAAAUAUUGUAUUAACACAUUUGUGGACACAUUUUCAUAUGCAGACAGUAAUUUCCCUUUGUAAGUACAUGCAUAUAUAGUCGUAUCUGCGAAUGGGUUAAUUGUAAAUCGUAAUCAAUAAAAAUUUUUUGUGAAUUAAUAAAAAACUGGUUUGUUUGAAAAUAAAUGUAGUACAAAUGUG
Molecule: long non-coding RNA, 1036 nt
Filed under: Diabrotica virgifera virgifera (western corn rootworm)
Lineage: Eukaryota; Metazoa; Arthropoda; Insecta; Coleoptera; Chrysomelidae
Description: uncharacterized LOC126888103
Source: RNAcentral